Molecule: unclassified non-coding RNA, 414 nt
Filed under: soil metagenome
Description: partial contains 5.8S ribosomal RNA, internal transcribed spacer 2, and large subunit ribosomal RNA
Rfam family: 5.8S ribosomal RNA (bases 1-121)
Source: RNAcentral
GAUGAAGAACGCAGCGAAAUGCGAUACGUAAUGCGAAUUGCAGAAUUCAGUGAAUCAUCAAAUCUUUGAACGCAAAUGGCGCUCUUGGGACAUCCCUGGGAGCACGCCUCUUUGAGUAUCGGUUCUACCACAUCUCGACAGCGUGCUGAAAAGCAAAGUGCGUCGGAUAAUGAGUUGUCUCAGUAGUUGUCAAACGACUGAGUCACUUUAAAUCUGGAGAAGGACCCUGGACUUUCCCGCUAAUUGGGAGAGGACGCAAGAUAAUUUUUCACUCGCAAGAGUGUUAAAUAACAAACCUUUCGUCACUCCUGAGGGAAAUUGUCCGGUUCUGAUCAAACCAAAAUUAUUUUCAGAAUAAGAUCUCAAAUGAAGCGAGAAUACCCGCCGAAUUUAAGCAUAUCAAUAAGCGGAGGA